CCAGCAGCCGCGGUAAUUCCAGCUCGAGGAAAUUUUAUCAAUGCUGUUGCAGUUGAAACGCUCGUAGUUGAGUUUUGUGUUCAUGGGGACGGUCUUGCGAAAGCGGGCACUGUUGUCUGGACAUGUGGGUCAGCAGCGUCUUUAUGGCGUCUCUGGCGGGUUACUGUGAAGAAAUUAGAGUGUUCAAAGCAGGCAAGCGCUUGAAUACAUUAGCAUGGGAUAACGAUCGUGCGAGCGAUUGUUGGUUAGCAGUCAUUUGCGAUUGAUAGGGACAGUCGGGGGCAUUAGUAUUUGGCAGUCAGAGGUGAAAUUCUUGGAUUUGCCAAAGACUAACUAGAGCGAAA
This 344-nucleotide ribosomal RNA is filed under the name uncultured eukaryote. RNAcentral's name for it is "SSU rRNA". It matches the Rfam family "Eukaryotic small subunit ribosomal RNA", at positions 567 to 950 of the family's 1831-position model. The record is from RNAcentral.